AUACGGAGGAUCCGAGCGUUAUCCGGGUUUAUUGGGUUUAAAGGGUGCGCAGGCGGGAGAUUAAGUCGGCGGUGAAAUUUUGCAGCUCCACUGUAAAAGUGCCUUCGAAACUGGUUUCCUUGAGUGUAGAUGAAGUAGGCGGGAUUUGUGGUGUAGCGGUGAAAUGCAUAGAUAUCACGAGGAACUCCGAUUGCGCAGGCAGCUUACUAAACUACUACUGACGCUCAGGCACGAAGGCGUGGGGAUCAAACAGGAUUAGAUACCCUGGUAGUCCACGCAGUAAACGAUGAUUACUAGCUGUUUGCGAUACAAUGUAAGCGGCUGAGCGAAAGCGUUAAGUAAUCCACCUGGGGAGUACGUUCGCAAGAAUGAAACUCAAAGGAAUUGACGGGG
This 393-nucleotide ribosomal RNA is filed under the name uncultured bacterium. Its description in RNAcentral is "partial 16S ribosomal RNA". It matches the Rfam family "Bacterial small subunit ribosomal RNA", at positions 523 to 918 of the family's 1533-position model. The record is from RNAcentral.